UAGGGAAUCUUCGGCAAUGGGGGCAACCCUGACCGAGCAACGCCGCGUGAGUGAAGAAGGUUUUCGGAUCGUAAAGCUCUGUUGUAAGUCAAGAACGAGUGUGAGAGUGGAAAGUUCACACUGUGACGGUAGCUUACCAGAAAGGGACGGCUAACUACGUGCCAGCAGCCGCGGUAAUACGUAGGUCCCGAGCGUUGUCCGGAUUUAUUGGGCGUAAAGCGAGCGCAGGCGGUUUGAUAAGUCUGAAGCUAAAGGCUGUGGCUCAACCAUAGUUCGCUUUGGAAACUGUCAAACUUGAGUGCAGAAGGGGAGAGUGGAAUUCCAGGUGUAGCGGUGAAAUGCGUAGAUAUAUGGAGGAACACCGGUGGCGAAAGCGGCUCUCUGGUCUGUAACUGACGCUGAGGCUCGAAAGCGUGGGGAGCGAACAGGAUUAGAUACCCUGGUAGUCCACGCCGUAAACGAUGAGUGCUAGGUGUUGGAUCCUUUCCGGGAUUCAGUGCCGCAGCUAACGCAUUAAGCACUCCGCCUGGGGAGUACGACCGCAAGGUUG
Molecule: ribosomal RNA, 550 nt
Filed under: uncultured bacterium
Lineage: Bacteria
Description: bacterial SSU rRNA
Rfam family: Bacterial small subunit ribosomal RNA
Source: RNAcentral